GAUGAAGAACGUAGCGAAAUGCGAUAACUAAUGUGAAUUGCAGAAUUCCGUGAAUCAUUGAGUCUUUGAACGCACAUUGCACCCUCUGGUAUUCCGGGGGGCAUGCCUGUUCGAGCGUCAUUUCACCACUCAAGCCUCGCUUGGUAUUGGGCAACGCGGUCCGCCGCGUGCCUCAAAUCGACCGGCUGGGUCUUCUGUCCCCUAAGCGUUGUGGAAACUAUUCGCUAAAGGGUGUUCGGGAGGCUACGCCGUAAAACAACCCCAUUUCUAAGGUUGACCUCGGAUCAGGUAGGGAUACCCGCUGAACUUAAGCAUAUCAAUAAGCGGAGGA
This 331-nucleotide unclassified non-coding RNA is filed under the name soil metagenome. Its description in RNAcentral is "partial contains 5.8S ribosomal RNA, internal transcribed spacer 2, and large subunit ribosomal RNA". The stretch from base 1 to 120 matches the Rfam family "5.8S ribosomal RNA", at positions 35 to 154 of the family's 154-position model. The record is from RNAcentral.